Plutella xylostella (diamondback moth) is the source of this 992-nucleotide long non-coding RNA. RefSeq lists it as uncharacterized. The record is from RefSeq and is a predicted model, not a curated record. NCBI's taxonomy places the organism in Eukaryota, Metazoa, Arthropoda, Insecta, Lepidoptera, Plutellidae.
UUAACCCUUUUUUUUUCGGCACUAAACAAAACAAAAGCAUGCUUCGUUGUGUUCAACAAUAUCGAUCGCAUGAAGAAAUCUAAAGAUUACCCGAUUAAACUUACAAAGCUCUUAGAUAAUGAGUGAAUCUAAUAGGACCAAACAUAACAAUGCAAACCCAACUACACUCUUUGUUGAACUAAAACCCAUGAUAAACCACUGAUCAAACCAUCCACUGUGACAAAACGUUCACAAUCCCUCACUACUUAUAUACCAAAGUUACUAUUCUACAAUAAGAUAUGACAUACUUUUUGAAUGCUGAUGAUGAUGAUGUUCUAUAUUUGACAACCAAACUCUGAGACUAUAUACUAUGAAGUAAACAUCCUGACUCAGGUGAAGAAGUGUAUUGCAACCGCGCUCAAAAUAGGAACAACUAAACUACCCGCAUAAUUCUUAACUUACAAAGAAUAUAUUGACACUAAAUGAGGUCCUAGCCUACUUUAUAUGGUCUAACACUUUAUCAACAACAGUUUACUUGAUCUACAUUAAUUGUUUUCUAAAUUUAUUGUUAUGUCUGACCGCUACCCUUUCAUCACAAAAUAUUUUUUUAUUAUUUUUUCUUUCAAAUGAGAUUAAUGUUAUAUUUUCUUUUCUUUAUUAACUGUAACUCAUUGUAUUUGUUUAGAGAAAUGUCUGAUAACAUAUUCUGCUACUAAUUGGCUCUCUGGAAUUUCAUAAUUAGACAUUUGGGCUUUUCCGGUUACUCUAAGUUAGAAUGAUAGCAUAGAUAGUGUUACAGUUCUAUCCCAACUCCUAUGAUCAAUGUUGUAUAAUAUAUCUACUCUUUCAGACAUUCAAGUAUAAUAAUUUAAGAGCCUAGUUUUUAAGCACCUAGUCGAUGACAAGCAAAGAUCCGAUCCAGAAGCACAAUCAACCACAUCAACAAACCAAAGAACCCGCACAACAAAACUCAUACAACCAAUACCAAACUGAACCAACCCAGCCAAAAGGAU